This 379-nucleotide ribosomal RNA is filed under the name uncultured eukaryote. Its description in RNAcentral is "partial 18S ribosomal RNA". It matches the Rfam family "Eukaryotic small subunit ribosomal RNA", at positions 592 to 976 of the family's 1831-position model. The record is from RNAcentral.
CAAUAGCGUAUAUUUAAGUUGUUGCAGUUAAAAAGCUCGUAGUUGGAUUUCGGAUGGGACUUGCCGGUCCGUCGUUUCGAUGUGCACUGGCCAGUCCUAUCUUGUUGUCGGGGACUAGCUCCUGGGCUUCACUGUCCGGGACUAGGAGCUGACGAGGUUACUUUGAGUAAAUUAGAGUGUUCAAAGCAAGCCUACGCUCUGAAUACAUUAGCAUGGAAUAACACGAUAGGACUCUGGCUUAUCUUGUUGGUCUGUGAGACCAGAGUAAUGAUUAAGAGGGACAGUCGGGGGCAUUCGUAUUGCAUUGUCAGAGGUGAAAUUCUUGGAUUUAUGAAAGACGAACUUCUGCGAAAGCAUUUGUCAAGGAUGUUUUCAUUAA